This 253-nucleotide ribosomal RNA is filed under the name uncultured bacterium. RNAcentral's name for it is "partial 16S ribosomal RNA". It matches the Rfam family "Bacterial small subunit ribosomal RNA", at positions 524 to 776 of the family's 1533-position model. The record is from RNAcentral.
UACGAAGGGGGCUAGCGUUGCUCGGAAUUACUGGGCGUAAAGGGCGCGUAGGCUGCCAUGCUAGUCAGGUGUGAAACCCCCGGGCUCAACCUGGGAACUGCACUUGAUACGGUAUGGCUUGAGGACGAGAGAGGGUGGUGGAACUCCCAGUGUAGAGGUGAAAUUCGUAGAUAUUGGGAAGAACACCAGUGGCGAAGGCGGCCACCUGGCUCGUUCCUGACGCUGAGGCGCGAAAGCGUGGGGAGCAAACAGG